AUUGAACGCUGGCGGCAUGCUUUACACAUGCAAGUCGAACGGCAGCGCGGGCUUCGGCCUGGCGGCGAGUGGCGCACGGGUGAGUAAUACAUCGGAACGUGCCCAGUAGUGGGGGAUAGCUCGGCGAAAGCCGGAUUAAUACCGCAUACGACCUGAGGGUGAAAGCGGGGGAUCUUCGGACCUCGCGCUCUUGGAGCGGCCGAUGGCAGAUUAGCUAGUUGGUGGGGUAAAGGCCUACCAAGGCGACGAUCUGUAGCUGGUCUGAGAGGACGACCAGCCACACUGGGACUGAGACACGGCCCAGACUCCUACGGGAGGCAGCAGUGGGGAAUUUUGGACAAUGGGCGAAAGCCUGAUCCAGCAAUGCCGCGUGUGUGAUGAAGGCCUUCGGGUUGUAAAGCACUUUUGGCGGGAACGAAAAGGACUGUGCCAAUACCACGGUUCGAUGACGGUACCCGCAGAAUAAGCACCGGCUAACUACGUG
RNAcentral lists this ribosomal RNA (484 nucleotides) under uncultured bacterium. RNAcentral's name for it is "partial 16S ribosomal RNA". It matches the Rfam family "Bacterial small subunit ribosomal RNA", at positions 29 to 507 of the family's 1533-position model. The record is from RNAcentral.